GUAUAUGCGGGUGCAGCAUCAUCAAGAUUCACAAGGCUUAUCAAUUUGAAGUUUCAUUAUAUAAAUUUGAGAAUCUUGAUGAUGCUGCAUCGACAAAUAC
Molecule: non-coding RNA, 100 nt
Organism: Cicer arietinum (chickpea)
Lineage: Eukaryota; Viridiplantae; Streptophyta; Magnoliopsida; Fabales; Fabaceae
Source: Rfam